RNAcentral lists this ribosomal RNA (253 nucleotides) under uncultured bacterium. RNAcentral's name for it is "partial 16S ribosomal RNA". It matches the Rfam family "Bacterial small subunit ribosomal RNA", at positions 524 to 776 of the family's 1533-position model. The record is from RNAcentral.
GACGUAGGGCGCAAGCGUUGUCCGGAUUUAUUGGGCGUAAAGAGCUCGUAGGCGGCCUGUCGCGUCGGAUGUGAAAGCCCGGGGCUUAACCCCGGGUCUGCAUUCGAUACGGGCAGGCUAGAGUGUGGUAGGGGAGAUCGGAAUUCCUGGUGUAGCGGUGAAAUGCGCAGAUAUCAGGAGGAACACCGGUGGCGAAGGCGGAUCUCUGGGCCAUUACUGACGCUGAGGAGCGAAAGCGUGGGGAGCGAACAGG